AGUGAGCGCUGGCGGUAGGCCUAACACAUGCAAGUCGAACGGCAGCACAGUAAGAGCUUGCUCUUACGGGUGGCGAGUGGCGGACGGGUGAGGAAUACAUCGGAAUCUACUUUUUCGUGGGGGAUAACGUAGGGAAACUUACGCUCAUACCGCAUACGACCUACGGUUGAAAGCAGGGGAUCUUCGGACCUUGCGCGAUUGAAUGCGCCGAUGUCGGAUUGGCUAGUUGGCGGGGUAAAGGCCCACCAAGGCGACGAUCCGUAGCUGGUCUGAGAGGAUGAUCAGCCACACUGGAACUGAGACACGGACCAGACUACUACGGGAGGAAGCAGUGGGGAAUAUUGGACAAUGGGCGCAAGCCUGAUCCAGCCAUACCGCGUGGGUGAAAAAGGCCUUAGGGUUGUAAAGCCCUUUUGUUGGGAAAGAAAAGCAGCAGGUUAAUACCCAGCUGUUCUGACGGUACCCAAAGAAUAAGCACCGGCUAACUACGUG
Molecule: ribosomal RNA, 492 nt
Filed under: uncultured bacterium
Lineage: Bacteria
Description: partial 16S ribosomal RNA
Rfam family: Bacterial small subunit ribosomal RNA
Source: RNAcentral